RNAcentral lists this ribosomal RNA (506 nucleotides) under uncultured bacterium. Its description in RNAcentral is "partial 16S ribosomal RNA". It matches the Rfam family "Bacterial small subunit ribosomal RNA", at positions 29 to 523 of the family's 1533-position model. The record is from RNAcentral.
AGUGAACGCUGGCGGUAGGCCUAACACAUGCAAGUCGAACGGCAGCACAGGAGAGCUUGCUCUCUGGGUGGCGAGUGGCGGACGGGUGAGGAAUACAUCGGAAUCUACUUUUUCGUGGGGGAUAACGUAGGGAAACUUACGCUAAUACCGCAUACGACCUACGGGUGAAAGCAGGGGACCUUCGGGCCUUGCGCGAUUGAAUGAGCCGAUGUCGGAUUAGCUAGUUGGCGGGGUAAAGGCCCACCAAGGCGACGAUCCGUAGCUGGUCUGAGAGGAUGAUCAGCCACACUGGAACUGAGACACGGUCCAGAAUCCGACGGGAGGCAGCAGUGGGGAAUAUUGGACAGUGGGCGCAAGCCUGGUCCAGCCAUACCGCGUGGGUGACGAAGGCCUUCGGGUUGUAAAGCCCUUUUGUUGGGAAAGAAAUCCAGCAGGCUAAUACCCGGUUGGGAUGACGGUACCCAAAGAAUAAGCACCGGCUAACUUCGUGCCAGCCGCCGCAGUAA